GUUUCCAGAACCAUUUUUCCCUUGAGAUGCGAUUGGAGUUAACUGGGAUAUAAAAUCUGCUUUCCUAACCCACACUUGUUUUACAAACGGUGCAAUGUGUUUGUGGGUGUACUUCUCAUGCCUUUGAUCUUUAUAAAAGUAAAAACACUUAGGUCUGGUAUGGCCACGAACCUUGCAAUAAUGACAA
Long non-coding RNA from Ipomoea nil (Japanese morning glory), 187 nucleotides. RefSeq lists it as uncharacterized. The record is from RefSeq and is a predicted model, not a curated record. The transcript is spliced from 3 exons. NCBI's taxonomy places the organism in Eukaryota, Viridiplantae, Streptophyta, Magnoliopsida, Solanales, Convolvulaceae.